Molecule: ribosomal RNA, 1567 nt
Filed under: Raillietina coreensis
Lineage: Eukaryota; Metazoa; Platyhelminthes; Cestoda; Cyclophyllidea; Davaineidae
Description: partial 28S ribosomal RNA
Rfam family: Eukaryotic large subunit ribosomal RNA
Source: RNAcentral
UCCCUUAGUAACGGCGAGUGAAGAGGGAAGAGCCCAGCACCGAAGCCUGCGGCAGAUUUGCUGUUAGGCAAUGUGGUGUGUGGGUCGGCUAGCGGAAUCGUCACUCCACUCGAAGUCCAGCAUUGAGUAUGGUUAUCACUGGAUAUGGCCCAGAGAGGGUGAGAGGCCCGUACGAGUGGAGGUUCAGACAUGUUGGACGGUUCACCAGGUCGACCUCAGAGUCGGGUUGUUUGAGAUUGCAGCCCAAAGUGGGUGGUAAACUCCAUCCAAGGCUAAAUACUGGCACGAGUCCGAUAGCGAACAAGUACCGUGAGGGAAAGUUGAAAAGUACUCUGAAGAGAGAGUAAACAGUACGUGAAACCGCAUGCAGGUAAACGGGUGGCGUCAAGCUGCGAGCCCGGAGGAUUCAGCUGGUCAGAUUGUAGUGUGCGCGCCUGUGGCGUCGAAGGGCCGGAGUAAGAUGUGGUAGUCCACUCCUCUCAUAGGAGUGGGGCGUGGCUGCGACCUCGGUUGUGGCUGUUGCUACGCGUGCCGAGUUGUGUGUCGGAGCGUGCUACUCGUCUGUUGGGCCGUCUGGUCAGUGCACUUUCUCCGUGGUGGACACCACGACCGGUGGUAUUGCCAGUCUACUGUGGUCAAGUCGUGUCUCUCUGAUGGCUUUGUUGUCCCUCGUUGGAUGAUGAUGGCUGUUUGGGGGGACGCGAUCGCAGAUGGGAGGGAUGUACGGCGUGGCGGUGUUUCGGCGCUGUUGCGUGUUAUCGUGCAUUCACCGUCAACGGGGUGUCGGAGUGUGCUGUGAUCGCGCUCCAGGGCACCUCGGCGGGCUAUGGUGGUGAAANGUGACUGUGCAAGGCACCGUGUUCAACCGCCUCAGUCGGUUGGUCGGCCUUCUGGGNCUGUCCGACUGGCUCAUGGUAUCUGGCACGCACAUCACAGGUGCAAGGUACGGGGCGCGCCUCUGUCCGUGCGCGUUGGGCUUGGCUAGCGUGUUGCUCGCGCAAAGUGGGUCCGCUAGUGGUCUGGCGUGUUUGUUAACACAGUGGGCGGAGUUGCGUGUCACCGGGUGCUACAUUUGCUGUGGGUACCGGGGGCGAGAUAGUCAGUGGUGCUGUGGUAGACGAGCUACCCGACCCGUCUUGAAACACGGACCAAGGAGUUUAACAUGUGUGCGAGUCAGAGGGUCCUACGAAACCCCAAGGCGUAGUGAAAGUGAAGUCCGCGUUGCGUACCUAGGCACACUUGCGCGGUGCGUCGCGGCGAGGUGAGAUCCUGCUGUUUGCCUACUCACCGUCAGUCCAACCUGGCUAAUUAGGGGCAGUGGGCGCAUCACCGGCCCGUCCUUUGAUGUGAACAUUGGCAUUGGCGUGGUAGUGUGCGCGUGAGCGCAUAUUAUGGCGUCGGCUAAUGCGCCAUCGGGGCGGAGCAUGAGCACACAUGUUGAGACCCGAAAGAUGGUGAACUAUGCUUGCGUAGGUUGAAGCCAGAGGAAACUCUGGUGGAGGACCGUAGCGAUUCUGACGUGCAAAUCGAUCGUCAAACGCGAGUAUAGGGGCGAAAGACUAAUCGA